GGCAAGAUGGGAAAGGAUGGGUUAUUGAAAGAAUACACCCUUCUUUACAAGAAAUUAGAAUCCCGAUAAGAGAUUCCCAAGUCAUCACAUCUCCCUUCAAAAUUAAAUCAGAUCCUUAAGAAUCUGCCAAUGGCGGAGACAUUAGGAACAUUAUUGAGCAGAAUAACUUCACAAACCAAAACUUGAAAAUAUUAGGAGAUCAACUAAUUAGGAUAGAAGAAUUAAUUAAGGAAGAAAAAUAAGAAAUCCCUAAAC
This 255-nucleotide long non-coding RNA is filed under the name Elaeis guineensis (African oil palm). RNAcentral's name for it is "long non-coding RNA (EGUI_LNC049252)". The record is from RNAcentral. Lineage: Eukaryota; Viridiplantae; Streptophyta; Magnoliopsida; Arecales; Arecaceae.